AUAAUUUAAAAUAAAACUUCAGGAAUUUUUUUCAUGAUCUGUCACCUCAUCUUAGUUUAAAUGUAGUCCUUGUUUAUUUUUUCCAUUUCUCCUAGUUGGUGCAUUCAAGUUCUCACAGACUUCACCUUGUCAUGGAUGAAUAUGAAAAUAUCAUCUGAAUUUGAUCUCUAAAGUCUGAAGGAUCUUACUUUUCUUUUUCUUCCUUUUUGUAUAUGUGUUUUUCUGAAUGGGAGUGGGAGACAUCAGCUAGAUAUCUUUCUUAGUUCUCACUAGGUGUGAUAGUAGAGAGAAUGAACUUAACAUCCCCAUCUGUGACAUAUGUCCAUUGAAUCUAGUUCGGAAGAUGCAAGAAUGGUUGCUUCCCAUUAUGGAUUUGAAAGGGAGAAGGAUAAAACAUUUGUGACGAUAUACACUGCAAAUCUUCACUGUAUGAUGCAAAACUGAUAGUGUGCUGACUUCUGGACGAUGAAGAAACGCUGAUGACCAGAGUCGAUUCCUCCAUGGUAGGAAGUGUUCCCUUUGGCGUUUGGUUCCAGAAUUGUUCCAUUAGCUAAGGUGAUUCACACUUA
Molecule: non-coding RNA, 569 nt
Organism: Musa acuminata subsp. malaccensis (wild Malaysian banana)
Lineage: Eukaryota; Viridiplantae; Streptophyta; Magnoliopsida; Zingiberales; Musaceae
Source: RefSeq, a predicted model, not a curated record